Molecule: long non-coding RNA, 3010 nt
Organism: Phoenix dactylifera (date palm)
Lineage: Eukaryota; Viridiplantae; Streptophyta; Magnoliopsida; Arecales; Arecaceae
Source: RefSeq, a predicted model, not a curated record
GUGCCGAUCGCGUCACCUUGUACCUUCCCCUCACGCCUUACUAAUUACAUCCGCGAUCCGCCUCACCUCCUACUUCCAUAAGGUGGCUUCGGGCAGGAAAAAAGAAAUUCCAUUGCCUCAUUUUCGGAGGAUGGCGUCGAGUAUUCUUGUGAGAAAGAUAUUGCUGAUAGCGCAGUGGACCUUAGUUCCUCUUGCUAGACUUUCAUGAAGAGGAAAUUAGGGAUGCAGUAUUCUCUUUGGGUGGAUCUAUGGCUCCAGGACCAGACUUCUUCUCCUUCUCCUUCUUCCAAAGGUACUAGAUCUCCAUCAAGGAUGAUCUGUUGGCUCUUUUGGAGGACUUUCGCAAGGCUCCUAUUCAACCUCUGCUUACUGUCAUUUGCAAAGUCUCGAGCUUUGGUUUAAUUGAAAUGCUUUCAUCUCGUUUUGUUGAAUUUGCAAUGGCACAGUAUGUUGUCUUUCAAGGAUUGUUCUUGUUUCUUCUUUUGGUGGAGUCUUACAACAAAGGAAGGAAGCAUUCUGAUAGAAAGCUAAAUGGAAUCAAAGACCAGUCUGAUAAGAAGCUGAACUUAACUCCUAAUUAUUAGCCAGGUGUGAUCUUCUCCUCAUCAUAUUGCUUGCUGUUUCAUUUACUUUUUUUCACUAGCUGUUACUUAUUCCCCUCCUGCCUUCACAUGGUACAUUCCAUCUCAUAUAUAUAUAUUUCUCUCACAUAUUGGUGGUUCAGCCUCCCCUGCCCUCUCUCUCUCUCUCUCUCUCUCUCUCUCUCUCUCUCUCUCUCUCUCUCUAUAUAUAUAUAUAUAUAUAUAUAUAUAUAUAUAUAUAUAUUCUCUUAUUCCAAAGAAGGAUGGCGUGCUUACUGCCCGUGACUUCAAACCUAUUAGCCUCCUUUAACAGCUUAUCCAAAGUGAUCGCAAAGAUUUUGGCAGCCAGAUUGGCCACCUUUCUCCUAAACUGGUCGAUGAGUCUCAUUCUGCCUUCAUUAAGGGCCGCUCCAUCAUUGAGAAUUUCCUUUCAGCUCAUGAGAUGAUGGCAUACUGCAGAAAAUUUGUCAUAAAGGGAUUCUCUGUAAGUUGGAUUUUGAGAAGGUCUUCAAGAAGGCUAGUUGCGAAUUUCUUUCUGCAAUGUUCUGGGCUAGAAGCUUUCUUUCCAGGUGGAUUAGUUGGUUGCAAGGACUCCUUUCAUCAACCUCAAAUGCAGUCUUACUUAGUGGUUCUCCGGGCAAAUGGAUCAAGUGCAAGUAGGGAUUGAGAUAAGGUGACCCACUCUCUCCGGCACUCUUCAUAUUGGUUACUGAUCAUAUUCUGGCUACAAUUCUUAAGCAGGCUAGCUCCCUCGGAAUUAUAGAAGGUAAUUGCCUGAGCUUCAAUGGCAUCAGAAGUCUCCACUUUAUUGACGACACGCUCCUUUUCAGUGCUGGUAAGAGACAUAGUAUUCUAGUCGCCAAAGCCAUACUUGUUGCUUUUGAGCAGGCUGUCAGGGUAAAGAUUAAUUUUUACAAAGGCUCGAUCUUGUGCAUUAACAUGGAUGAAGAGGAAGCUGCAAACUUUGCCACUAUGAUGAACUUACCUACCUCGGCCUGCCUCUUUUUGGCAGAAAACUUCCAAAACAUUGUUGGUUGCCUUUACUUGAAAAAAUUGGCUCGAGACUUGCAUCCAGGAAAGAAAAAUUCCUCUCUUUUGGUGGUGGACUAACCUCGAUCAAUGUCGUCCUCACAGCUUUGUCGUCCUAUCUUAUGUCAAUAUUUAAGCUUCCAAGAUGGGUAACCAAUAGAAGUGACCAGAUGAGAAUAUCUUUUUUCGUGGAAAGUGAAAAGGAAUGUUAGCAGGGUUCAUUGUCUUGUCAAGUGGGACUGUGUUUGACGUUCAAAGAAGGAAGGGGAGUUUGGAAUCAAGAACAUUAAGGAUUCGAAUCUUGCCCUACUGGCAAAGUGGGCUUGCAAAUUGCUCUCUGUGCUAGUGCCUAGUGCCACUUGCUUUAAACAAAUCAAAAGUGCUUACUACUCCCGAAAAGGAUUUGAAUAAGAUCUACAUGCUUUUUGGAACUGCACAGCUUCCAAGUUUGGAAAUGGAAACGGCAUCAGAUUCUAAGAGGAUGCAUGCAUUGGGUCAAUACCAGUUGCUCUUCUCUUUAGUGAUCUUUUCUCUAAAGCUUCUAAAGAAAAUGUUUCUGUGGCCUCUCAAUAGAGUGGGAGAACCCAUUGUUGGAGAAUUAGACUGCAAGGACCCCUAACUCAGCUUCAGAAUGCCCAAUUUGAGCACUCCAAUUAGACCAAGUAGGCAUGAGGACGUCCUAGUGUUUAAAGUCAUAAGAAAUAGCAGUUUCUCAAUUAGCUCCUUCUACAAUUUCAUUAAUAGUGGCGGUCAGCAUUGUCCUUUUUACAAAAUCAUUUGGAAAUCCAUGGUCCCAUAGAAGGUGAAGGUUUUCAUUUGGCUAGCCUUACAAAACAAGCUGCAUACAGAAGAGGUACUUGCAAAGAAAGGUUUGUCGAUAAGUUUCGGAUGCCCCUUUUGUGGUUCUAGUUCUGAGAUCGUAUCACACUUAUUCCUUAGAUAUUCUUCUGUGCGGAGUAUUCUUUCUAUCUUCAAGACAUGCUUGAACAUAAGAGGUUGGCCGGCCAACUUUCUCUCGCUUGUCUUCUUGGAGGAGCAAGAGAGUUCAACAAUCAUUUAGAAGGGCGUGCUAUUGAUGCCAUCCAUUUAUAAUGUUUGGCAAGAAAGAAAUGGUAGAAUCUUUCGCAAGAAGAAGAACUCUAUAUUCACCACUCUACAAAAGAUCCUAAACUCUUUCCGGCUAUAGGAGAUUCUCUAUUCUGCAAAGGAGGAGGAUCACAAAUUGAUCUUGGAUAGCUUGUCUUCUUUGGUUACCCACCAUAGCUUAACUAAAUGUUUCUGUUUUGCUGACUUCUCCUUCUCCAUAUUUGUAACUCUUUGUACAUUCAUUUGAUCAAUAAAUCGGGGGAAGUUUCUCACUUCCUCCAUUUCACUUCAAAAAAAAAAAAAUCUUAGGUUCA